Molecule: ribosomal RNA, 406 nt
Filed under: uncultured bacterium
Lineage: Bacteria
Description: partial 16S ribosomal RNA
Rfam family: Bacterial small subunit ribosomal RNA
Source: RNAcentral
AUUGAACGCUGGCGGCAGGCCUAACACAUGCAAGUCGAACGAGUGGCGGACGGGUGAGUAAUGUCUGGGAAACUGCCUUAUGGAGGGGGAUAACUACUGGAAACGGUAGCUAAUACCGCAUCCCAUCGGAUGUGCCCAGAUGGGAUUAGCUAGUAGGUGGGGUAAAGGCUCACCUAGGCGACGAUCCCUAUCUAGUCUGAGAGGAUGACCAGCCACACUGGAACUUAGACACGUGCCAGACUCCUACGGGAGGUAGCAGUGGGGAAUAUUGCACAAUGUGCGCAAGCCUGAUGCAGCCAUGCCGCGUGUAUGAAGAAGGCCUUCGAGUUGUAAAGUACUUGCAGCGGGGAGGCGUUACCCGCAGAAGAAGCACCGGCUAACUCCGUGCCAGCAGCCGCGGUAAUAC